GAAGGCAGCGCCCUGAGGGUGCCUGCUGCAGGGCCAGAGGCCCUGGGAGACCCUUUUGCUUCAAUUGCUCAAGUGACCUGCCUCUUCUUAAGUGACCUACUUCCUUUUACAGACUCCUGAGUUAGACAGUUCAAGAGGCUGAGCCGAGAACCACUGCUAAGACAGAGCACACACCAUCACCAGGGCUUGGCCUCGAGGCAGUCACAGGAACCAACUGAAGCUGGCAACACCGGACUUUAGAUACAAUCUCACAGGGGAGGAAGACUGAAUGACCCCAUCUCUGCCCACGGGCCCAGCCACAUCUCCAGGCCACACUGCGCCAGCAGAACAAGCACGCGUCUGUCAGUCAGUGUGAGCUCAUACCGUGCCUGCUCACACACGCUGCUCCUCCCCAGCAAUGACGCUCUCCUCUCAGGCUCUUGCUGGUCAGGCUGGGGUUGGCGGAGCUGAUUCUCCACUGUCCUUGCUCCCUGGAGCUCAAUGGCCAAAGCGAGCAUGUUACUGUCAGCUAACAGGGCCGAUGUGCUGAGGGACCAGAUGUUCACAUUCUCCUCCUGGGACAUGUCUGGGAAGCUUGAACCGUCCACCAACAGGGAGGUGCCCCAGGGCUUGAACUCAAGACCUGCUGGCACUGGCAUCCUGCACACUCCCUGCCACACGGGAGGCCGAAGCCCCAAGAAGGGAAAAGAUGCUCCAGUGUUUUCCGGAUCAUGGUGCCCAGGACCAGAAAGGGCCGUCACCGUUUCUCUCACUCCCAGGGAAGGCAUGGUGGGCAUGGGACGACCACCCAUAUCUUUCUUCUCAGUCGCUGCUCUAAAAUGUGACCCUUGGGCUGGAUCUGAGUAGCCUGUGGGGCCUACUGUGUGAAAGUCUAGCUGGUCUUCCAAGUGGGUGCUUCCUAAUAAAUAAGCCAUGCUACUCCCCCUUCUAUGCUGACACACAGGGUGAUACACGGUGUAAUGGGGGCCUGGGCUCAGGUAGAACACAUCUGCUAUCCGGGAACUACAGCCACUGGCAAUGGACCCUGGGAAGCCUGGCUAGGUUGUGCUUGGAGCCAAGUUUGAAACCUCUGGGGUUCUAGAAGUGAAACUGGGGUAUCUGCUUGGGUUCAAGGCUCCAGUAAAGACCCCUCAUAACCUUCAGGAUCUGGGGAUGCCAAGACCUGGGGAAGUGAGACACAGGGGGCAGCAGAGAGGCUGGAGCUGCCGGUCAACACUCCUGUACUUAGCAUGGGCUGGCCAGAAAGGCCUGAAGAGCUCUGCACAAUCCAUUCGCUCCAGGAAACUGGCUGGCUGCCAGCUCUUAGAACUGAGUACAUCAAUCCUGCCUCCCGGUCACCCCUGAGCUCUGGGCUGCUGGCUCAGGAGAACACAAAGCCCCUUGGGGGCCUGUUCUCCAGCUGUGGACCCCGCUCGCGCUCGCGUCCCUGGGGUCCCUUCGCUGGUGGAGGCAGGUGUGGUCAUUAAAGCACGUGCAUUCUCCAGGUGUACCCUCAGGCCUCAUGUAACCAGCAGAGUGGAAGAAAGACCAUAGCAACGGGAGUCAGGGGUGAGCCAAUGGGAAACCAAACCCGCAUCUUACUGCCAAUCAAAUCCAAACACAAACCCACUACGUGAAGGCAGCAGCCAGCUCUUUGUGUAAUAAAUAUUGCAAAGCUCACUUCAUUUCUUUCUUUCUUUUUUUUUUCAAGUCAAAUAUAACAAUAUCCCAAACCCUGUUUUCUGCUUUCAGAACAGAGGAAGUCGGUGAUGUGAACAGAACACCUACAGCCAAUCAAAGAAAAGACCACGUCCCACUAGCCAGCCAAUCAUAACCCUUUUCCAGUUUAAGCAACCAAUCAGGCCUCUUCACAUUCCUAAAAAUGACCUAAAUAAAGCACCAGAGCUCGGAGAGCUUCCGGGGAAGCCAGAUACCGAGGCGCAAAUGUUUAAAAAAAUAAAGAGUCAGAAAUAAAAAUAAAAGGUUUCCGUUGGUCAAGAUUUAAAAAUAAAAAGGUUUCUUCCUGCA
This is a long non-coding RNA of Mus musculus (house mouse), 2007 nucleotides long. RefSeq annotates it as predicted gene 13066. The transcript has 2 exons. NCBI's taxonomy places the organism in Eukaryota, Metazoa, Chordata, Mammalia, Rodentia, Muridae. The record is from RefSeq and is marked validated.